GUGCCAGCAGCCGCGGUAAUACGUAGGUGGCAAGCGUUGUCCGGAUUUAUUGGGCGUAAAGCGAGCGCAGGCGGUUUCUUAAGUCUGAUGUGAAAGCCUUCGGCUCAACCGAAGAAGCGCAUCGGAAACUGGGAAACUUGAGUGCAGAAGAGGACAGUGGAACUCCAUGUGUAGCGGUGAAAUGCGUAGAUAUAUGGAAGAACACCAGUGGCGAAGGCGGCUGUCUGGUCUGUAACUGACGCUGAGGCUCGAAAGCAUGGGUAGCAAACAGGAUUAGAUACCCUGGUAGUCCAUGCCGUAAACGAUGAGUGCUAGGUGUUGGAGGGUUUCCGCCCUUCAGUGCCGCAGCUAACGCAUUAAGCACUCCGCCUGGGGAGUACGACCGCAAGGUUGAAACUCAAAGGAAUUGACGGGGGCCCGCACAAGCGGUGGAGCAUGUGGUUUAAUUCGAAGCAACGCGAAGAACCUUACCAGGUCUUGACAUCCUUUGACCACUCUAGAGAUAGAGCUUUCCCUUCGGGGACAAAGUGACAGGUGGUGCAUGGUUGUCGUCAGCUCGUGUCGUGAGAUGUUGGGUUAAGUCCCGCAACGAGCGCAACCCUUAUUACUAGUUGCCAGCAUUUAGUUGGGCACUCUAGUGAGACUGCCGGUGACAAAACCGGAGGAAGGUGGGGACGACGUCAAAUCAUCAUGCCCCUUAUGACCUGGGCUACACACGUGCUACAAUGGAUGGUACAACGAGUUGCGAGACCGCGAGGUUUAGCUAAUCUCUUAAAACCAUUCUCAGUUCGGAUUGUAGGCUGCAACUCGCCUACAUGAAGCCGGAAUCGCUAGUAAUCGCGGAUCAGCAUGCCGCGGUGAAUACGUUCCCGGGCCUUGUACACACCGCCCGU
RNAcentral lists this ribosomal RNA (893 nucleotides) under uncultured bacterium. RNAcentral's name for it is "bacterial SSU rRNA". It matches the Rfam family "Bacterial small subunit ribosomal RNA", at positions 505 to 1397 of the family's 1533-position model. The record is from RNAcentral.